UGAGUAACCUGCCCUUAACUCUGGGAUAAGCCUGGGAGACUGGGUCUAAUACCGGAUAUGACUCCUCAUCGCAUGGUGGGGGGUGGAAAGCUUUAUUGUGGUUUUGGAUGGACUCGCGGCCUAUCAGCUUGUUGGUGAGGUAAUGGCUCACCAAGGCGACGACGGGUAGCCGGCCUGAGAGGGUGACCGGCCACACUGGGACUGAGACACGGCCCAGACUCCGUACGGGAGGCAG
RNAcentral lists this ribosomal RNA (235 nucleotides) under uncultured bacterium. RNAcentral describes it as "partial 16S ribosomal RNA". It matches the Rfam family "Bacterial small subunit ribosomal RNA", at positions 118 to 351 of the family's 1533-position model. The record is from RNAcentral.